RNAcentral lists this ribosomal RNA (459 nucleotides) under uncultured bacterium. RNAcentral's name for it is "partial 16S ribosomal RNA". It matches the Rfam family "Bacterial small subunit ribosomal RNA", at positions 338 to 795 of the family's 1533-position model. The record is from RNAcentral.
CCUACGGGUGGCAGCAGUGAGGAAUAUUGGUCAAUGGGCGGAAGCCUGAACCAGCCAAGUAGCGUGCAGGAUGACGGCCCUACGGGUUGUAAACUGCUUUUAUACGGGAAUAACGCGCCUUACGUGUAGGGCUUUGCAUGUACCGUAUGAAUAAGGACAGACUAACUAUGUGCCAGCACCCGCGGUAAUACAUAGGAUGCAAGCGUUAUCCGGAUUUACUGGGCGUAAAACGAGCGCAGGCGGGUUAACAAGUUUGGUAUGAAAGGCUUUUGCUUAACGAAAGUUUGUAUCAAAAACUGUUAAUCUAGAGUGUAGUAGAGAGUGCUGGAAUUCCAUGUGGAGCGGUGGAAUGCGUAGAUAUAUGGAAGAACACCAGUGGCGAAGGCGAGAACUUAGGCUAUCACUGACGCUGAGGCUCGAAAGUGUGGGGAGCAAAUAGGAUUAGAUACCCGUGUAGUC